This 401-nucleotide ribosomal RNA is filed under the name Campylobacter fetus subsp. testudinum. RNAcentral's name for it is "bacterial SSU rRNA". It matches the Rfam family "Bacterial small subunit ribosomal RNA", at positions 1012 to 1414 of the family's 1533-position model. The record is from RNAcentral. Lineage: Bacteria; Pseudomonadati; Campylobacterota; Epsilonproteobacteria; Campylobacterales; Campylobacteraceae.
GCUAGCUUGCUAGAAAGUUGAGACAGGUGCUGCACGGCUGUCGUCAGCUCGUGUCGUGAGAUGUUGGGUUAAGUCCCGCAACGAGCGCAACCCACGUAUUUAGUUGCUAACAGUUUGGCUGAGCACUCUAAAUAGACUGCCUUCGUAAGGAGGAGGAAGGUGUGGACGACGUCAAGUCAUCAUGGCCCUUAUGCCCAGGGCGACACACGUGCUACAAUGGCAUAUACAAUGAGAUGCAAUAUCGCGAGAUGGAGCAAAUCUAUAAAAUAUGUCUCAGUUCGGAUUGCUCUCUGCAACUCGAGAGCAUGAAGCCGGAAUCGCUAGUAAUCGUAGAUCAGCCAUGCUACGGUGAAUACGUUCCCGGGUCUUGUACUCACCGCCCGUCACACCAUGGGAGUUGA